ACUCCUACGGGAGGCAGCAGUGGGGAAUAUUGCACAAUGGGCGCAAGCCUGAUCCAGCCAUGCCGCGUGAGUGAUGAAGGCCUUAGGGUUGUAAAGCUCUUUCGCUAGGGAAGAUAAUGACGGUACCUAGUAAAGAAGCCCGGCUAACUUCGUGCCAGCAGCCGCGGUAAUACGAAGGGGCUAACGUUGUUCGGAUUUACUGGGCGUAAAGCGCACGUAGGCGGAUUAGUAAGUUAGGGGUGAAAUCCCAAGGCUCAACCUUGGAACUGCCUUUAAUACUGCUAAUCUAGAGAUCUGGAGAGGCGAGUGGAAUUCCGAGUGUAGAGGUGAAAUUCGUAGAUAUUCGGAGGAACACCAGUGGCGAAGGCGGCUCGCUGGCCAGAUACUGACGCUGAGAUGCGAAAGCGUGGGGAGCAAACAGGAUUAGAUACCCUGGUAGGCUCUGCU
Molecule: ribosomal RNA, 447 nt
Filed under: uncultured bacterium
Lineage: Bacteria
Description: bacterial SSU rRNA
Rfam family: Bacterial small subunit ribosomal RNA
Source: RNAcentral